This 233-nucleotide long non-coding RNA is filed under the name Gossypium barbadense (sea-island cotton). RNAcentral describes it as "long non-coding RNA (GBAR_LNC013609)". Lineage: Eukaryota; Viridiplantae; Streptophyta; Magnoliopsida; Malvales; Malvaceae. The record is from RNAcentral.
UUGUGUGAGCAGGCCCAUUUUCACAGCUUGUGUGAGCAUUCUGAUUCACAGCUCAUGUGAGCAUUCUAAUUCACCGCUUGUGUGAGCAUACAUGUACAUGAUUUGACGGAUUACAGUUAUAUGAGUUAGCACACUAUGUGUGAGCUAUCCCAGGUAUCCUAUGGUAUUCUAAAUGGUUCAAUGGGCAUCAUAUUGAUACGAAUUAGUAAGAGUUCAAUACGAACUAAGAUAGG